Molecule: ribosomal RNA, 440 nt
Filed under: uncultured bacterium
Lineage: Bacteria
Description: partial 16S ribosomal RNA
Rfam family: Bacterial small subunit ribosomal RNA
Source: RNAcentral
CCUACGGGAGGCUGCAGUAGGGGAUAUUGCACAAUGGGGGAAACCCUGAUGCAGCAACGCCGCGUGGGGGAAGGAGGGUUUCGGCGCGUAAAGCCCUAUCGUCAGGGAAGAAGAUGACGGUAUCUGACCAAUAAGCCCCGGCUAACUACGUGCCAGCAGCCGCGGUAAUACGUAGGGGGCAAGCGUUACCCGGAUUUACUGGGCGUAAAGGGGGCGCAGGCGGGGAUGCAAGCCAGGAGUGAAAGCCCGUGGCCUAACCCCGGGACUGCUCUUGAAACUGCAUCGCUGGAGUGCAGGAGGGGCAGGUGGAAUUCUUAGUGUAGGGGUGAAAUGCGUAGAUAUUAGGAGGAAUACUCGUGGCGAAGGCGGCCUGCUGGAACGUGACUGACGCUGAGGCACGAAGGCGUGGGGAGCAAACAGGAUUAGAUACCCGAGUAGUC